RNAcentral lists this ribosomal RNA (1276 nucleotides) under Clostridioides difficile. Its description in RNAcentral is "partial 23S ribosomal RNA". It matches the Rfam family "Bacterial large subunit ribosomal RNA", at positions 1538 to 2824 of the family's 2925-position model. The record is from RNAcentral. Lineage: Bacteria; Bacillati; Bacillota; Clostridia; Peptostreptococcales; Peptostreptococcaceae.
AAAUCCGCUUUGAUAAUGCUGGGAUGUGAUGGGGAGCGAAAUUUAGUAGCGAAGUAGCUGAUUUCACACUGUCAAGAAAAGUCUCUAUCGAGGUUAAAGGUACCCGUACCGCAAACCGACACAGGUGGGUGAGGAGAGUAUCCUAAGGCCAGCGAGAGAACUGUUGUUAAGGAACUCGGCAAAAUGACCCCGUAACUUAGGGAUAAGGGGUGCCACCAUCAGGUGGCCGCAGAGAAUAGGCCCAAGCGACUGUUUACCAAAAACAUAGGUUUCUGCUAAGUCGCAAGACGAUGUAUAGGAGCUGACGCCUGCCCGGUGCUGGAAGGUUAAGGGGAUCUGUUAGAGCAAUCGAAGCAGUGAACUUAAGCCCCAGUAAACGGCGGCCGUAACUAUAACGGUCCUAAGGUAGCGAAAUUCCUUGUCGGGUAAGUUCCGACCCGCACGAAAGGCGUAACGAUUUGGGCACUGUCUCAACAACAGACUCGGUGAAAUUGUAAUUCCGGUGAAGAUGCCGGAUACCUGCGACAGGACGGAAAGACCCCAUGGAGCUUUACUGUAGCUUGACAUUGGGUCUUGGUACUACAUGUACAGGAUAGGUGGGAGGCUUUGAAACCAGGACGCCAGUUUUGGCGGAGCCAUCCUUGGGAUACCACCCUUGUAGUACUGGGACUCUAACCAUAGGCCAUGAAUCUGGUCUUGGGACACUGUCAGGUGGGCAGUUUGACUGGGGCGGUCGCCUCCCAAAAGGUAACGGAGGCGCUCAAAGGUUCUCUCAGUACGGUCGGAAAUCGUACGUAGAGUGUAAAGGCAAAAGAGAGCUUGAUUGCAAGACAUACAGGUCGAGCAAGGAUGAAAAUCGGACUUAGUGAUCCGGUGGUUCUGCGUGGAAGGGCCAUCGCUCAACGGAUAAAAGCUACCCUGGGGAUAACAGGCUUAUCUCCCCCAAGAGUCCACAUCGACGGGGAGGUUUGGCACCUCGAUGUCGGCUCAUCACAUCCUGGGGCUGUAGUAGGUCCCAAGGGUUGGGCUGUUCGCCCAUUAAAGUGGUACGCGAGCUGGGUUCAGAACGUCGUGAGACAGUUCGGUCCCUAUCCGUCGCAGGCGUAGGAAAUUUGAGAAGACCUGUCCUUAGUACGAGAGGACCGGGAUGGACGUACCUCUGGUGUACCAGUUGUUCUGCCAAGGGCAUGGCUGGGUAGCUAUGUACGGAAUGGAUAAGCGCUGAAAGCAUCUAAGCGCGAAGCCAACUUCAAGAUAAGAUUUCCCACCGCAAGGG